UAAUCAUAACACUUUUCAAAAAAAAAAAUUGCACUAGUGGUCUACCCAUAUCUCAACAUGGCCAAUAUUUAUCAGUAUUGUCAGUUUAACCUACUUGGUGAGUUUUGUGCAAUAGACUUUUGGCAUAAAAUCGAAUGCAAAUUAUUACUUUUU
Long non-coding RNA from Cyprinus carpio (common carp), 153 nucleotides. RefSeq lists it as uncharacterized. The record is from RefSeq and is a predicted model, not a curated record. Lineage: Eukaryota; Metazoa; Chordata; Actinopteri; Cypriniformes; Cyprinidae. The transcript has 3 exons.